This 652-nucleotide long non-coding RNA is filed under the name Homo sapiens (human). RNAcentral's name for it is "HSALNT0352585". Lineage: Eukaryota; Metazoa; Chordata; Mammalia; Primates; Hominidae. The record is from RNAcentral.
CUGGCCUCAAGCCAUCCUCCCACCUCAGCCUCCCAAAGUGCUGGGAUUACAUGCAUGAGCCACCACAUCCAGCCUACCUAAAAUAUUGAAUGCUGUUAAUAAAUCUCCUGAGGCCAGCAUAAGAAGGUGAUGGGCAAAACUAAUGCAGUAGGAGCUGAAAUCGACCAGGGGGUUCUUAUCCAACAGACAGCAGCAAAACUCUUUGUGUAUCUGCGUUCCUUUCAACAAGUGUGACUUCCUCAAUGGCAUCAUUCGUGAGCGUAACACAGAGCUCAGCAAUAACGUUUCUUCACUAACCCUACCAGAAAUGGUUCACUGUUAGCAGUGGACAAGGCCAUGAACACACACUUAUAACACAGCAACAGAUACAAGAAAGUCUGACUGAGGCUCCAUUACUGCUCCUGUCCCGUUCACCUUAACUUUCAUCUCCACAUGUCAGCGCUUCCUCAUCUUGCUUGACUUGAAGUCAGUGCAUUUCUUCAAGCCAGUAAGUUCUCUAUACUGACUAUUAAGCUGUAAUUCUCACAGGAAAAUUAGAAUGUUCCUUCCCAUUUUCCUAAUUUCUCAACUGAUUUUUCUCAGAAUUCAGAAUCCAUAAAUAUUGAAAUGCCAGGAGAGAAUUUCCAAAUGGAAAUGCUGUUCCCUUCGUCCA